This 22-nucleotide ribosomal RNA is filed under the name cf. Clavulina sp. EC185 B92. RNAcentral describes it as "partial 18S ribosomal RNA". The record is from RNAcentral. Lineage: Eukaryota; Fungi; Basidiomycota; Agaricomycetes; Cantharellales; Hydnaceae.
GGUGAACCUGCGGAAGGAUAGU